UUCUGGCUACUUCUUCCAUCACUGGAAAAACACUACCGCCACCUCUGUCACCGAAAAUAGCCACUGAGUCCUCUGUGUUGGAGUUUAUUGCGAGUUGCCGUCGUUCUGGUCACCGGCUAUGGCGUUGGUGUUGCUGGAACCGCCACUGGUGCUGCCGCCACUUGGUUCCCACGAAGGAGGCUUG
Molecule: non-coding RNA, 184 nt
Organism: Arachis ipaensis
Lineage: Eukaryota; Viridiplantae; Streptophyta; Magnoliopsida; Fabales; Fabaceae
Source: RefSeq, a predicted model, not a curated record